UUCUGGGUCCGACGCAAUGUUUCUAAGUGAAUCAAGUCAGGUCGGGAACGAAGCAGCUUUCAGCUUUUUGAAUUAUGUGCCGUCGGGUUGCCGAGGGCCG
RNAcentral lists this signal recognition particle RNA (100 nucleotides) under Acidimicrobiia bacterium. RNAcentral describes it as "signal recognition particle sRNA small type". It matches the Rfam family "Bacterial small signal recognition particle RNA". From Rfam's summary of the family: The signal recognition particle (SRP) is a universally conserved ribonucleoprotein involved in the co-translational targeting of proteins to membranes. The record is from RNAcentral. Lineage: Bacteria; Bacillati; Actinomycetota; Acidimicrobiia.